RNAcentral lists this ribosomal RNA (468 nucleotides) under uncultured bacterium. Its description in RNAcentral is "partial 16S ribosomal RNA". It matches the Rfam family "Bacterial small subunit ribosomal RNA", at positions 28 to 507 of the family's 1533-position model. The record is from RNAcentral.
GACGAACGCUGGCGGCGUGCUUAACACAUGCAAGUCGAACGGAAAGGCCCUGCUUUUGUGGGGUGCUCGAGUGGCGAACGGGUGAGUAACACGUGAGUAACCUGCCCUUGACUUUGGGAUAACUUCAGGAAACUGGGGCUAAUACCGGAUAGGAGCUCCUGCUGCAUGGUGGGGGUUGGAAAGUUUCGGCGGUUGGGGAUGGACUCGCGGCUUAUCAGCUUGUUGGUGGGGUAGUGGCUUACCAAGGCUUUGACGGGUAGCCGGCCUGAGAGGGUGACCGGCCACAUUGGGACUGAGAUACGGCCCAGACUCCUACGGGAGGCAGCAGUGGGGAAUAUUGCACAAUGGGCGGAAGCCUGAUGCAGCAACGCCGCGUGCGGGAGGACGGCCGUCGGGUUGUAAACCGCUUUCGCCGGGGGCGAAGCGUGAGUGACGGGAAUGGGUAAAGAAGCACCGGCGAACUACGGG